UACGAAGGGGGCUAGCGUUGUUCGGAUUUACUGGGCGUAAAGCGCACGUAGGCGGAUCGUUAAGUCGGGGGUGAAAUCCUGGAGCUCAACUCCAGAACUGCCUUCGGUACUGGCGAUCUUGAGUCCGGAAGAGGUGAGUGGAACUCCUAGUGUAGAGGUGGAAUUCGUAGAUAUUCGCAAGAACACCAGUGGCGAAGGCGGCUCACUGGCCCGGUACUGACGCUGAGGUGCGAAAGCGUGGGGAGCAAACAGG
This 253-nucleotide ribosomal RNA is filed under the name uncultured bacterium. RNAcentral's name for it is "partial 16S ribosomal RNA". It matches the Rfam family "Bacterial small subunit ribosomal RNA", at positions 524 to 776 of the family's 1533-position model. The record is from RNAcentral.